CACGUUCGCCCUCCAACUUGCUUUCAUUUCAGGAACUUCAAAGCGGCUCGAGUUCGGCAACUCAGUAAAACCGAGUCGGGACUCACCGAUUCGUCAUUUCAAUUUUCGUUUCCAUUUCUCCGUAAAGUAUAGUCGUUAAACCCUCCCACGCGUAGGGUUCUUGAUUCUUACGCUGGUUCUGCGACAAAUUUUGAAUGAUUCUGAAUCUCCGAUUGCAGUUCGUUCAGUAAGAUCGUUUCUCGUUUUAAUCAAGCCGGCUUGGAGCGUAGAUUCCACUGCCUCUUCGUUGAAAAUGGAGAGUGUCGUCGAUUGGAAACCUCCGCCGUGUGCGGCCGAGAAGGCUCGGGAGAGCGGCGCUUGAUUCUGGUGGUGUCUCGGGAAGUAAUUCUGGAAACGUGUUUGAGGAACGAGAUCUACGGUUUGAUGCCAUGCUUAGCCAUAUGGUGGGUCGAAACUAGAUCAAAGCCUGGAUCAAAACUUGAGAUGAGGGAGGGCUCUGUGGUGGAGAGGUAUGACAGACCAAUGCCAAAGCAAAUAAAUACAGAUUAAAAUCCAGUAAAUACGAGGAUCGCACAGCCCCACCAGGAACUUUAAAUGUAGCACAGAUGCGCCACAUAAUCCUCCUAAAUGAAGGAAAGGCUGAUGACUGUUCACCAAAUUGCUGAAAGGUAUAAUAAUGUCAGCGUCCAUCAAAUACAGACGAUUUUGCAGUUUCUGUCUCUGCCACCAGAGGACAGUCUUUUAGAGAGAAAAAGAAGGUUCCUUAAUAACAGGAAUGGAGCCAAGAAAACGAGGGAAGGGGCGUUGCUCCCCUAAGAUGAGGUUUUAGAUCCAUAUCUUUUGUGUCUUUUAUUUUAGAUUAUAUUUUCUUUUGCUCCCUAAAUAGCUUUUGUUUUUAGAAUUU
Cucurbita moschata (crookneck pumpkin) is the source of this 904-nucleotide long non-coding RNA. RefSeq lists it as uncharacterized. The transcript is spliced from 4 exons. The record is from RefSeq and is a predicted model, not a curated record. NCBI's taxonomy places the organism in Eukaryota, Viridiplantae, Streptophyta, Magnoliopsida, Cucurbitales, Cucurbitaceae.